CAAAAUCACUGAAGUACCGAAGCCAGGGACUUAUCGUUUGAAGGCAUUAGAUGGAUCAGUAAUUAAAAACACUUGGCACGCUGGCAGGCUUAGAAAGUACUUUCAGUAGAUUCAAUGUCAGUACAUCGGAAGUCUGUAAAUAUUUACAUCAUCAUCAAUAAAAAUUCCUCUUUUCUCUCAAAUAAAUUUUGUCUCUGUUGCUGCUCAGUUCAUUGGUGUUAGGAGGCUCGGGAGGACUCGCUGACCAUUCGAUGGUAGCCUCUUCGGCAGGUGGUCCUUAUGAGUUUGUCAGGCCCUUCGUGGUAGGCAAACGUCAUUGGUGUUAGGAGGUUCGGGAGGACUCGCUGACCAUUCGAUGGUAGCCUCUUCAGCAGGUGGUCCUUAUGAGUUUGUCAGGCCCUUCGUGGUAGGCAAACGUCAUUGGUGUUAUGAGGUUCGGGAGGACUUGCUGACCAUUCGAUGGUAGCCUCUUCGGCAGGUGGUCCUUAAGGCAUUGUCAGGCCCUUCGUGGUAGGCAAUUG
RNAcentral lists this long non-coding RNA (521 nucleotides) under Panax ginseng (ginseng). Its description in RNAcentral is "long non-coding RNA (PGIN_LNC010096)". The record is from RNAcentral. Lineage: Eukaryota; Viridiplantae; Streptophyta; Magnoliopsida; Apiales; Araliaceae.